Molecule: transfer RNA, 87 nt
Rfam family: tRNA
About the family: Transfer RNA (tRNA) molecules are approximately 80 nucleotides in length. Their secondary structure includes four short double-helical elements and three loops (D, anti-codon, and T loops). Further hydrogen bonds mediate the characteristic L-shaped molecular structure. tRNAs have two regions of fundamental functional importance: the anti-codon, which is responsible for specific mRNA codon recognition, and the 3' end, to which the tRNAs corresponding amino acid is attached (by aminoacyl-tRNA synthetases). tRNAs cope with the degeneracy of the genetic code in two manners: having more than one tRNA (with a specific anti-codon) for a particular amino acid; and 'wobble' base-pairing, i.e. permitting non-standard base-pairing at the 3rd anti-codon position.
Source: Rfam
GCCCCCGUUGUCUAAUGGUUAUGACGUCAGACUUCUACGCAAAAUUUCAUGAUCUGGAGGUUGCGGGUUCGAAUCCCGCCGGGGGUU